GCGCGCCGCGUCCUAGACCCCCUCCCUCCCGGGCCGCCCGCUGGAAGUCUGCCUGGGCGACCCCGACCGGAGCUGGGGGCAGGGGUGCCGGCUCCCUAGGACUGCUCUUCAGCGGGGUCCAGCCUCCGGGUUCGCUGUUAGACCUUGGGAAGAUGGUUGACCUUUUUAAAGACCACACUUUCCUCCACGUUAACACGGCUGAACUUGGGAAAACCAGUAAAGAAUGUGUUCACCUCCUAGCAAAUUACUGGAAGGAACAUGAGAAAUGAUCAAAGACCUGGAAGACCUCAGAGAUCUAAGUAUAAAUACCUAAGUGAUCUAAUUAUAAAGGCCUAACAACUAAAACUAUAAACCUCUUAGAAGGAAACAUAGGAGAAACCCUUCAUGCUGCUGGAUUUGGGAAUGAUUUCUUGGAUAUGACAGCAGAAGGACAGGCAACAAAAGUAAAAAU
This is a long non-coding RNA of Phacochoerus africanus (Common warthog), 451 nucleotides long. RefSeq lists it as uncharacterized. NCBI's taxonomy places the organism in Eukaryota, Metazoa, Chordata, Mammalia, Artiodactyla, Suidae. The transcript has 4 exons. The record is from RefSeq and is a predicted model, not a curated record.